GCAUUUUUAGCUCAGUGGAUAGAGCAACGGUCUUCUAAAUCGUGAGUCAUAGGUUCAAAUCCUAUAAGAUGUA
RNAcentral lists this transfer RNA (73 nucleotides) under Turbinaria ornata. Its description in RNAcentral is "tRNA-Arg". It matches the Rfam family "tRNA". From Rfam's summary of the family: Transfer RNA (tRNA) molecules are approximately 80 nucleotides in length. Their secondary structure includes four short double-helical elements and three loops (D, anti-codon, and T loops). Further hydrogen bonds mediate the characteristic L-shaped molecular structure. tRNAs have two regions of fundamental functional importance: the anti-codon, which is responsible for specific mRNA codon recognition, and the 3' end, to which the tRNAs corresponding amino acid is attached (by aminoacyl-tRNA synthetases). tRNAs cope with the degeneracy of the genetic code in two manners: having more than one tRNA (with a specific anti-codon) for a particular amino acid; and 'wobble' base-pairing, i.e. permitting non-standard base-pairing at the 3rd anti-codon position. The record is from RNAcentral. Lineage: Eukaryota; Phaeophyceae; Fucales; Sargassaceae.